This 76-nucleotide transfer RNA is filed under the name Thomasclavelia spiroformis. RNAcentral's name for it is "tRNA-Thr". It matches the Rfam family "tRNA". Rfam says of the family: Transfer RNA (tRNA) molecules are approximately 80 nucleotides in length. Their secondary structure includes four short double-helical elements and three loops (D, anti-codon, and T loops). Lineage: Bacteria; Bacillati; Bacillota; Erysipelotrichia; Erysipelotrichales; Coprobacillaceae. The record is from RNAcentral.
GCCGACUUAGCUCCAACGGUAGAGCAACACCAUGGUAAGGUGGAGGUUGUGAGUUCGAAUCUCAUAGUCGGCACCA